Passer domesticus (house sparrow) is the source of this 1385-nucleotide long non-coding RNA. RefSeq lists it as uncharacterized. Lineage: Eukaryota; Metazoa; Chordata; Aves; Passeriformes; Passeridae. The record is from RefSeq and is a predicted model, not a curated record. The transcript has 5 exons.
CACAGAGCAGCAGAGGAAGCUGCUAGGCCAUGUGCUCUGCUCCCUCAGUCUUCCCAGCACAGGCUGAAGCCCUGUGGGACUGUGUUCCCCAUCUCACCCUGCACAGGGCACACAAGGACACCCCACAGGCAGGCUGGAAGCCCGGAGGUGCACUGAGUGCAGCUGUCAGCCACACAAAACGGGCUCCCCACCAGCUGGUGCACCCCACAGCCGACACGGUGCUCCCCCCUCUGCCCCCCGGGCUGGGCACCCCUGCCCAGGGCCAGGGAUGAUGUUCCACGGGGAGCUGUGCUGGGCUCGGCCCUGCUUGCCCAUUGGCAGGAUUUUGCUGCAGUCUGCUCCGAGCCGGUGGUUUUGGUGGCUGAAGAAACCUGCAGAAAGCAGCGCUGCUGGUGGAUUGGGUCAGACAGGGCUCCGGGGAGGGGGGAGGCUGGGCUGGGUGAAGGAGGUGCUCUGUUCAGCCCUCCGAUGAGCUCAACAUGUGAGGGGAGGCGGCUCGCAGCGGGGCCCGGGGACGGGAGCAUCCCGAGUUGCCAUGGUGACAGCGGCUGCAUCCUCGGGCAGGCGGGAGCAGCGCUGGUGCAGCCCCGCAUGGCUGCUCCCCCCUCCGCUGCCUUCUGGCUGCCGGCCCGGGGACAGCAGGGCCCGGGGACAGGGCGGGGGACAGCUCAGAGCGGAGCCGAGCGAGCCGCAGCCUGUUGCAGCGGGGGUGUGCGGCGGCCCUCCCCUCCCGAAAGGGCGCCCCACCUCUGCUGCCCAUCUCCAUCAUGGACAAAGAGCAGAUGCUGGCAAGGGGAGACAUGAGCAGAGACCAUGAUAUUCCCCCAGCAAUUCCCCAGCAAUCCUGUUUGGAGCCCCCAAAGAGCAGCUGUCCCAGCAGUGGCUCCGCAGCCUCCCAGACUUGCUUUCGCUGCCUGAGUCACUGAAACAACCCGCAGGCAACGGAAAACAAGCCCCGGAGAGAGCGGCGUGAGGCGGGGGCGUGCCACACCACCGACCCGUCCUCUUCUGGCAGCCCGGGGACCACGAUACCCCUGCAGCAAACCUGCAUGGUGGAGGGGGGCUUGAGGGACAUCGCAUCAGCCCAGAGUGGAGCAAUAAGGACCCCAGACUUUGCAACGACCCCUACAGCCCACCCGUACCCCCCUCACAGCCCUGUGAGCAGGCGCCCGGGAAAGCUUCACCUGUGAGCCGGCGUUGUGGAGCGGAGCCGAGCUGACGUGGCCCUGGGCUGGCUGCACCUGGCCAGGUCAAGAUCUGAAGCAGAGGCCCUGGAGGGGAUGGUGGAGCCCUGUCUACUGCCCUGGAGCUCUACUAAUUUUGCACACCGGAACUGGGAGAAAUAUGGAAUAGGCUCAUCUUCGAUUUUUCUCACUGACUUCUGG